GUUAGGAAUAUUGGACAAUGGGCGCAAGCCUGAUCCAGCCAUGCCGCGUGAGUGAUGAAGGCCUUCGGGUUGUAAAGCUCUUUAGUCCACGAAUAUAAUGACUGUAGUGGAAGAAUAGCCCCGGCUAACUUCGUGCCAGCAGCCGCGGUAAUACGAAGGGGGCGAGCGUUAUUCGGAAUCACUGGGCGUAAAGCGUGCGUAGGCUGUUUUGUAAGUCAGAAGUGAAAGCCCAGGGCUUAACCCUGGAAUUGCUUUUGAAACUACAAGACUCGAAUUCGGGAGAGGAUAGCGGAAUUGUCAGUGUAGCAGUGAAAUGCGUAGAUAUUGACAGGAACACCAGUGGCGCAAGCGGCUAUCUGGACCGAUAUUGACGCUGAGGCACGAAAGCGUGGGGAGCAAACAGGAUUAGAAACCCUUGUAGUCC
This 424-nucleotide ribosomal RNA is filed under the name uncultured bacterium. RNAcentral's name for it is "partial 16S ribosomal RNA". It matches the Rfam family "Bacterial small subunit ribosomal RNA", at positions 354 to 796 of the family's 1533-position model. The record is from RNAcentral.